Long non-coding RNA from Mus musculus (house mouse), 4828 nucleotides. RefSeq annotates it as predicted gene, 30464. The record is from RefSeq and is a predicted model, not a curated record. NCBI's taxonomy places the organism in Eukaryota, Metazoa, Chordata, Mammalia, Rodentia, Muridae. The transcript has 5 exons.
AGCAGUCAGUGCUCAACCACUGAGCCCUGUCUCCAGCCCCCAACAACUUGUUAUUUUUAACUGAAAUGUGUUGUUAGCCCAGAGCUUCCUAGCACACAAAGCAAAAACAGGAGCAGGAUGGAUUAGCUGUGUCUGUUGUCUUGUAGUUCUAUGACCUACAUGAAUAUAGAGUUAACCCACUUCAAUGUUGACAAAUCAAAAUGGAAAGUAAAACCACUCAGGAGUCUCUGCUCUGUUUAGCGGAGUUAUAGACAGCCCAGUCCUGCAGAGUCUGUUACCUGCCUUGCUAGGGUAAACCAAAAGAAUCACAGUUAUCACAAAGAAGGAAGUGCCCCAGUGGGUGACUCUAUCAGAUCAGUUCAAGCCUCCCCCCCACCACCACCACCUUGUUUGGGUUUCAUCAUUUCAUUGCUUUAGCCUCAUCCCAAAUUAAGUCACAAACAGGCUCAGUGACUUCAGGGUCCUAAGCAGGCAGAAUUAAUGACGAAAAUAGAAAUGCUGAAAAUAGUGGAAACCAAAGCAGAUUGGAUGAUUUAUUCAAACCUUGAGGAGAAACGACUGUUCAGCCCAGAAUUGAAAUUUAGACCUGAGCUUUGUAAUCAACUAGGGUGUACCUCUUUCUGGAAUUAACCCUAAAAAGCAGAAGGGAGAAAAACAGAAACUCCGUGUGGUGUCCUUGGGUCUGUACGUCGAUCCUUUGAGAAGUUCCUGGCACUUCUGAAAGCCGUUCUUUAUGAAGUGACCUCUGAGGUCAGAAAGGUGAGCCGCAUGGGGAUUUAAGAGAACGGAGUGUGUGGUUUGUAUUCUCCCUACCGUGGCUCCAGGGAUGAGCCCACCUUGCCUGUUGGUCUCAUUCUUAGAUGCCCAGAUGGCCACUCCUUUCCCUUGGCACCCUAACUGGACCCAGGUGACUCUUUGAAGGUAACAGGGCUGUCUUUUGUGCCUCAGCCCCACUUUCUCAACCACUCACCCUAAAGUGGACGUCAGGGUCUUCUGUCUGCUGAUGCUUUCUUGGUGGCUCAAGCCCCAGCCCAGCUCCUGGCCCUGAAUUUGCUUCAACACUUUCUCAUCUCAAGAUAGUUACACCUGUCUUUUGUCUCAUUCUGCAACGAGUUUUGGUGUAAGUUGCUGUGGUUGAAUCAUGGUGCUUAAAAAGAUACAUGGGGUUCAGCUCCCCAUCACACCUAGGGCUGGGACUGGGUUUGGAAAUGGGGGCUCUGUGGAUGGAGUCGUGGUAAAAUGACGUCACAGGUGGACUGCAAUUCUAUGACUGGUGGCCUGGUAAGAGUAGGUGUGCACAGGGAAAUGGCAAUAAGAGAUGGGGAGGAUGGCCAUGAAAGGCUGGGAAUGGUGUCAGAGUUGUAAGACCCUAAGGCAAAGAAUGCCUGGGGCUAGAUACUGCAGAGGUAAGGAAGGGUCGCCUCUGGAGACCUGGGAGAGAGCAGAGCUGUGCACAGUUUUACUGGGGCCUUGGGUUUGGAUUGCCAUCUUCCUGAACUGCAAGCUUAUACUUUUCUGUGGUUUUAGUUUUGAGGCUGGGUCCCCUGUAUCCAGGUGUGCCUCCAACUUUAUGUGUAGCUGAGGAUGACCUUGAACUCUUGACCUUUCUUCUUUCAAGUCUCAAGUGUUGAAUUACAUGAACACUCCACCAUACCUAGUAUAUACCAUGCUGGGGACUGAACCCCAAGCUCAAGAUGCUAAACAAGUGAGCCACAUCCCAGUCCCAACUCCUCACUGUUCCAGCAUAUGGUACUUUACUUCAGAGAAUCUCGAAAAAAAGUAUACAGCUAAGUUAGAUGGUAAUUUCUCAGUUUUAAAUCUAGUGUUAUUGGGUAUUACUAUGCCCCAAGCUCAGUGCUCAAUUCUGGAACCCAAACCCAAGGCAAGAAAAUAAUAUACAGCGAGCAAAAUUUCCCGAGCGGGCCUGUGACUUUCUAAACUUACUCCAUCGUAUGCCUUGAGCUCCCCGGUGUCCAGCGUCCUCAUACCCACACACUCCUGCCCAUCACCAGUGUCUGCUUGUGUUGCUAAGCCAGCUCCUGGUUUUGCAGGUCUGUGAACUGAGGCUGAAGAGGUCCUGCUCUCAAUAGAAAAGUAGCAGAGGGCUUGAACUCUGUUACUGCUUAUUCAUGAUGCUUCAGCCAAGUCAGUGUAGGAGCCUCAGGCCGCCAAAACUUACUGAGAUCGCAACCCCCUGUAGCUUUCUGCCCGAUGAGAGGCUGUUGAAGUUAUGGAAAGACUUGGCUGGGAGUGUUCUUUCAGGUGAUGGAGACUCACAGGAAGGAAACACAUGGUCCGUUGCCUCAGGAGGACUUAGGGACGAAUCCAGGCAACAAACAGAUGAGCCUUCGAGCAGAAUAAAACUGUUCAGGAAAAACAACAACAAAAAAAACUUGUCUUUGGGAAGUAGAGUGAAGGUCAGCACAAACCAGGCUUCAGAGGCAAGAGAGACAGUGGCAGAUAUUGUGCCACCAUAGGAAGAUGCCAGCAGCCAUGAAUGUGAAAGAAUUUGCAAGAUUAGAGGAUUAAGAUGUGAAGCCUCAAGAUAAACUUAGAACUCCUACAAAGAUUAUUCUCCUUUCUGGGAAAAACUAUAAAUUUUCAACAAGGACAUAAAUGUGAGUGACCUGCAGAAAAGAAUAAAGCAAACUCCUGAAAAUGCGGAGCAGGAGCCCUCCAGUGUCUUGCAUGUAUAAAACCCGAAUUCAUGCUCAUGUCCAAGGAAGAAUCCCAAGAACAUUCGUGACCAUAGCAUACAACCUAAGCCACUGUAUACUACCCAGAGGUCCACCAGCAAUGGUAUGUACGAAUAAACGUGGAUGUACUCAUGCAAUGCAAUGCUGUAUAGAGUUGGAACUCAGUGUCCUGUGACUACAGAUAGCAUCACAGAUGAAUCUCAAACAAUAAAUGAAACUGCAUGCAAAGGAAUUCAUGGUGCUUUAUUCUACUUAGGUUUUUAGGCCUGGCUGCCCUGGAAUUCACUCUGUAGAUGACCAGGCUGGCCUCAGACUCAGAGAUUCACCUGCCUCUGCCUCCUGAGUGCUGGGAUUAAAGACCACCACCACCAUCUAGCUUUUUUUUUUAAUAACAAAGCCAAAAAAUAUUAUCCCCAGACACAACUUUAUCUGGGGAGAAGAUAGUGAGGCUCAGGCUAAUGGGGGUGUGUCUUGGACAUUUUCUUACCUUGUAUCCAUGUUUUGUGAUCAUUUGUCUGGCUAUGUGCUUACUUCCUGUGUGCUUUUAGAAUGUGUAUUCCAUAAAUCAUAUUUCAACAAUAAAAAAUGUUUGUUUACAGCAUGGAACCCUUAAAAACAAAAACCACUAGUAUUCAAGGAAAUAUUUUGCUUAGGAAUGGAACUACCUUCCAUACCAGCUGCCUUAAACCAGCAGAUGUGUUCAUCUUGUGAGGCCUCAUUCAAAAAGUCAUUGUUGUGUGUGUGUGUGUGUGUGUACACGUACACAUGUGUGCAUGCACAUAUGUGAGUGUAUAGUCAUGUGUAUAUGUGAGAUCAUGUUUGUACUUAUGUGUACAUGUGUGAUAUAUUAUGUGUAUGUGUAUGUGUGUGUGUGUGUGUGUGUGUGUGUGUGUGUGUGUGCAUGACACACACAUGUAUCUCAUAUGUGUGUAAGAGGCAGGUAGGAAUAUAUCAAGUCUCUUUCCCAGCCUGGAGGUGGAGGAUGUGGGGUCCAUCAGGGACACUAUUCCUUGGGGAUUGUGGCAAAUAUAAGCACCAGACAUGUGUUUUCAUAAAGAUGGGGAUGUGGGGGAAACAGAAGGCAGAGAGCAGAGCUGGCUAAGAGGCAGCCCAUGACAUGCACACACUAGCCCACAUAUUUUAGGUAUGGUUGCAUGACUAACAACAUAACCACCUAGCCAUCUUCAGCAUCCCCAGAAAUGACAACAGCCUGGCCAGAUCUGUCUGGUUUGGGUACUCACUCUCUCUUUUCUGGACAUGUUCCAUCUACCACUGACUUCACCAACCUGUCAGAAUUGACCACUUCAUUAAGGCAGCAAUAUGAGGGGCUUAGUGCACACCUUUAGUCUUAGCAUUCAGGAGGCAGAGGCAAGCGGGUUUCUGUCAGCCAGAAUUACAUAGCAGGCUACCCAGAGGUCCACAGUGAGUCCUUGUCUCAAAAAAGAAAAAGAAAAAGAAAAAAAAAAGGAUAGGAAAGCUGCUACAAACAUUUCUAGUUCAAUCAAAAAGGCAAAAAUGACCUUGACCUUGGAAAAUGAAAACGCAAUCCUCAGCAAAGUAUCUCAUUAAAUCACAAAUACCUUGGAUCUUGUUUAUUAGUCUCCAUUGCAAAUACCAAGCUCAGCAGUAAAUCAGCCAUAGCAGUAGCCAGGUAUCCAUGUGUCCCAAUAAAACUUUAUUUACAAGAACAAACAGUGGUCCAAAUGUGAUCCAUUAGCUUUAGUUUGCAGAGCCCUGCUCUGAGGUGCAGCCAUAUUUAGGACUGAGCAAACACUGUUUGGGAAGUGGGUUAAUUUCCUGAGACCUUGAAACAAACGUCAGAGACAACACCAGGUAGCACACUUGAUGUGCAUCCCACUGAGUGGCUCUUCUCUGCUCUCAGAGGCCUUCGGAAGCACCCUUCACCUGAGAACUUCCUGGGCUUGCAUUCACAUUGAGCCCCGCCUCUUUCCCAGCCUGCCCCCCUUGCCUCUGUAGCACACACCACGCUGGCCUGGCCCCAGCACUCUGUGUCUGCUGUGGGUGCAGGGCCAUGCCUCUGACCUCUUCCCUACACUGCUGCCCCUCCCCCAGGAAUCCCUCUUUCCUGCUACCAGAUGGGCUUUGUCUUUCAAGAGAUCCUUCAAGAGUCU